Molecule: transfer RNA, 73 nt
Filed under: Bos taurus (domestic cattle)
Lineage: Eukaryota; Metazoa; Chordata; Mammalia; Artiodactyla; Bovidae
Also listed under: 2 other names
Rfam family: tRNA
About the family: Transfer RNA (tRNA) molecules are approximately 80 nucleotides in length. Their secondary structure includes four short double-helical elements and three loops (D, anti-codon, and T loops). Further hydrogen bonds mediate the characteristic L-shaped molecular structure. tRNAs have two regions of fundamental functional importance: the anti-codon, which is responsible for specific mRNA codon recognition, and the 3' end, to which the tRNAs corresponding amino acid is attached (by aminoacyl-tRNA synthetases). tRNAs cope with the degeneracy of the genetic code in two manners: having more than one tRNA (with a specific anti-codon) for a particular amino acid; and 'wobble' base-pairing, i.e. permitting non-standard base-pairing at the 3rd anti-codon position.
Source: Rfam by way of RNAcentral
UCCAUGAUGGUCCAAUGGUUAAAACUCUGUGCUUCUGAUGCAGAGGGUGCAGGUUUGAUCCCUGGUCGGGGAA